GGUUAAGCGACUAAGCGUACACGGUGGAUGCCCUGGCAGUCAGAGGCGAUGAAGGACGUGCUAAUCUGCGAUAAGCGCCGGUAAGGUGAUAUGAACCGUUAUAACCGGCGAUUUCCGAAUGGGGAAACCCAGUGUGACUCGUCACACUAUCAUUAACUGAAUCCAUAGGUUAAUGAGGCGAACCGGGGGAACUGAAACAUCUAAGUACCCCGAGGAAAAGAAAUCAACCGAGAUUCCCCCAGUAGCGGCGAGCGAACGGGGAGGAGCCCAGAGCCUGAAUCAGCAUGUGUGUUAGUGGAAGCGUCUGGAAAGGCGCGCGAUACAGGGUGACAGCCCCGUACACAAAACGCAUGUGCUGUGAGCUCGAUGAGUAGGGCGGGACACGUGGUAUCCUGUCUGAAUAUGGGGGGACCAUCCUCCAAGGCUAAAUACUCCUGACUGACCGAUAGUGAACCAGUACCGUGAGGGAAAGGCGAAAAGAACCCCGGCGAGGGGAGUGAAAAAGAACCUGAAACCGUGUACGUACAAGCAGUGGGAGCCCCACCACCAAAGCAUUCUCUGGUGUUGAAGGCCCUGCAAAGCAGCAUCGCGGUGGCGGAGCGUCGUUUGCGACGCCCAACACACAAAACAAGCGGUGAGUGCUUUGGGGUGGGGUGACUGCGUACCUUUUGUAUAAUGGGUCAGCGACUUAUAUUCUGUAGCAAGGUUAACCGCAUAGGGGAGCCGUAGGGAAACCGAGUCUUAAC
RNAcentral lists this ribosomal RNA (746 nucleotides) under Salmonella enterica. Its description in RNAcentral is "partial 23S ribosomal RNA". It matches the Rfam family "Bacterial large subunit ribosomal RNA", at positions 1 to 688 of the family's 2925-position model. The record is from RNAcentral. Lineage: Bacteria; Pseudomonadati; Pseudomonadota; Gammaproteobacteria; Enterobacterales; Enterobacteriaceae.